UACGAAGGGUGCAAGCGUUAUUCGGAAUCAUUGGGCGCAAAGCGCGCGCAGGCGGAUCAGCAAGUCAGAUGUGAAAUCUCGGAGCUCAACUCCGAAACUGCGUCUGAAACUGCUAGUCUAGAAUGUCGGAGGGGGCAGGGGAAUUUCACGUGUAGGGGUAAAAUCCGUAGAGAUGUGAAGGAACACCGGGGGCGAAGGCGCCUGCCUGGACGACUAUUGACGCUGAGGCGCGAAAGCGUGGGGAGCAAACAGG
Molecule: ribosomal RNA, 253 nt
Filed under: uncultured bacterium
Lineage: Bacteria
Description: partial 16S ribosomal RNA
Rfam family: Bacterial small subunit ribosomal RNA
Source: RNAcentral